This 475-nucleotide long non-coding RNA is filed under the name Homo sapiens (human). Its description in RNAcentral is "long intergenic non-protein coding RNA 1678". Lineage: Eukaryota; Metazoa; Chordata; Mammalia; Primates; Hominidae. The record is from RNAcentral.
ACUGCUCCUGGGCACAGAGCUGAAGGGGAACUGGAGGCUGCGGCGUUCCUCUCUCCGUUCCCCUCUCUCUGGUGACUCGUGAUAACGAACCGACCUUUUGGAGACAUUCUGUGCCCUCAACAAAAGCGGCCCCUGUCUGGAAACCCCCCCGAGGGAGACUGACUUCCUCCCCUGCUGCCUGGGCUGCGGUAGCUCUUCCGGCACCUGCUCUUCAGGCACCUGCCCUGUGCUGGCCCCUCCUGCAACAAUCGGGAGCCCUCACCUCAGUCGGCGCUGCAGAACCAGCCCAGGAGAGCAGCUGGCCUGUCAUCUGCUGAGGAGCGGAGGCGGCUGUGCCCAGGACUGCAAUGGCCUCCCACACUACCUCACUACCCUGGUCCAGGCUCACUGACAGAUGAGGAAACUGAGGCAGGGGCCCCGGUCUCACGGCCAUUGGUGCAGAGCUGGGAUCCACGACCAGGUGGGCUCUUUGUUA